RNAcentral lists this ribosomal RNA (1154 nucleotides) under Salmonella enterica. Its description in RNAcentral is "bacterial SSU rRNA". Lineage: Bacteria; Pseudomonadati; Pseudomonadota; Gammaproteobacteria; Enterobacterales; Enterobacteriaceae. The record is from RNAcentral.
AAAUUGAAGAGUUUGAUCAUGGCUCAGAUUGAACGCUGGCGGCAGGCCUAACACAUGCAAGUCGAACGGUAACAGGAAGCAGCUUGCUGCUUUGCUGACGAGUGGCGGACGGGUGAGUAAUGUCUGGGAAACUGCCUGAUGGAGGGGGAUAACUACUGGAAACGGUGGCUAAUACCGCAUAACGUCGCAAGACCAAAGAGGGGGACCUUCGGGCCUCUUGCCAUCAGAUGUGCCCAGAUGGGAUUAGCUUGUUGGUGAGGUAACGGCUCACCAAGGCGACGAUCCCUAGCUGGUCUGAGAGGAUGACCAGCCACACUGGAACUGAGACACGGUCCAGACUCCUACGGGAGGCAGCAGUGGGGAAUAUUGCACAAUGGGCGCAAGCCUGAUGCAGCCAUGCCGCGUGUAUGAAGAAGGCCUUCGGGUUGUAAAGUACUUUCAGCGGGGAGGAAGGUGUUGUGGUUAAUAACCRCAGCAAUUGACGUUACCCGCAGAAGAAGCACCGGCUAACUCCGUGCCAGCAGCCGCGGUAAUACGGAGGGUGCAAGCGUUAAUCGGAAUUACUGGGCGUAAAGCGCACGCAGGCGGUCUGUCAAGUCGGAUGUGAAAUCCCCGGGCUCAACCUGGGAACUGCAUUCGAAACUGGCAGGCUUGAGUCUUGUAGAGGGGGGUAGAAUUCCAGGUGUAGCGGUGAAAUGCGUAGAGAUCUGGAGGAAUACCGGUGGCGAAGGCGGCCCCCUGGACAAAGACUGCGGGAACUCAAAGGAGACUGCCAGUGAUAAACUGGAGGAAGGUGGGGAUGACGUCAAGUCAUCAUGGCCCUUACGACCAGGGCUACACACGUGCUACAAUGGCGCAUACAAAGAGAAGCGACCUCGCGAGAGCAAGCGGACCUCAUAAAGUGCGUCGUAGUCCGGAUUGGAGUCUGCAACUCGACUCCAUGAAGUCGGAAUCGCUAGUAAUCGUGGAUCAGAAUGCCACGGUGAAUACGUUCCCGGGCCUUGUACACACCGCCCGUCACACCAUGGGAGUGGGUUGCAAAAGAAGUAGGUAGCUUAACCUUCGGGAGGGCGCUUACCACUUUGUGAUUCAUGACUGGGGUGAAGUCGUAACAAGGUAACCGUAGGGGAACCUGCGGUUGGAUCACCUCCUUA